GACGAGGGACCCUAGCGUUGUUCGGAAUCAUUGGGCGUAAAGCGGGUGCAGGUGGCUUUGUAAGUCAGGUGUGAAAGCCCAGGGCUUAACUCUGGAAGUGCAUUUGAUACUGCGAAGCUUGAGUGCUGGAGAGGUAAUUAGAAUUCCUGGUGUAGUGGUGAAAUACGUAGAUAUCAGGAGGAAUACCGGAGGCGAAGGCGGAUUACUGGCCAGACACUGACACUCAUACCCGAAAGCGUGGGGAUCAAACAGG
This 253-nucleotide ribosomal RNA is filed under the name uncultured bacterium. RNAcentral describes it as "partial 16S ribosomal RNA". It matches the Rfam family "Bacterial small subunit ribosomal RNA", at positions 524 to 776 of the family's 1533-position model. The record is from RNAcentral.